This 607-nucleotide ribosomal RNA is filed under the name uncultured Meliniomyces. Its description in RNAcentral is "eukaryotic LSU rRNA". The stretch from base 245 to 398 matches the Rfam family "5.8S ribosomal RNA". The record is from RNAcentral. Lineage: Eukaryota; Fungi; Ascomycota; Leotiomycetes; Helotiales; Helotiaceae.
CUUGGUCAUUUAGAGGAAGUAAAAGUCGUAACAAGGUUUCCGUAGGUGAACCUGCGGAAGGAUCAUUAAAAAAAGAGAAACGUCCCGUUCUUUUUCAUAAGAAUGGGUUCUAUUCCCUUAAACCGUGUCUACAUACCUUUGUUGCUUUGGCAGGCCGCCUUCGGGCGUCGGCUCCGGCUGAUAGUGCCUGCCAGAGGACCCAAACUCUAUGUUUAGUGAUGUCUGAGUACUAUAUAAUAUUUAAAACUUUCAACAACGGAUCUCUUGGUUCUGGCAUCGAUGAAGAACGCAGCGAAAUGCGAUAAGUAAUGUGAAUUGCAGAAUUCAGUGAAUCAUCGAAUCUUUGAACGCACAUUGCGCCCCUUGGUAUUCCGAGGGGCAUGCCUGUUCGAGCGUCAUUAUAACCACUCAAGCCUGGCUUGGUAUUGGGGUUUUCGCGUGUUCGCGGCCCUUAAAAUCAGUGGCGGUGCCGUCUGGCUCUAAGCGUAGUAACUUCUCUCGCUAUAGGGUUCCGGUGGUUACUUGCCAAAACCCCCCAUUUUUUCUAGGUUGACCUCGGAUCAGGUAGGGAUACCCGCUGAACUUAAGCAUAUCAAUAAGCGGAGGA